RNAcentral lists this ribosomal RNA (454 nucleotides) under uncultured bacterium. Its description in RNAcentral is "bacterial SSU rRNA". It matches the Rfam family "Bacterial small subunit ribosomal RNA", at positions 29 to 530 of the family's 1533-position model. The record is from RNAcentral.
AACGAACGCUGGCGGCAGGCCUAACACAUGCAAGUCGAGCGCCCCGCAAGGGGAGCGGCGGACGGGUGAGUAACGCGUGGGAACGUGCCUCUUGCUACGGAAUAGCCUCGGGAAACUGGGAGUAAUACCGUAUGUGCCCUACGGGGGAAAGAUUUAUCGGCAAGAGAUCGGCCCGCGUUGGAUUAGGUAGUUGGUGGGGUAAUGGCCUACCAAGCCGACGAUCCAUAGCUGGUUUGAGAGGAUGGUCAGCCACACUGGGACUGAGACACGGCCCAGACUCCUACGGGAGGCAGCAGUGGGGAAUCUUAGACAAUGGGCGCAAGCCUGAUCUAGCCAUGCCGCGUGAGCGAUGAAGGCCUUAGGGUUGUAAAGCUCUUUCAGUGGGGAAGAUAAUGACUGUACCCACAGAAGAAGCCCCGGCUAACUCCGUGCCAGCAGCCGCGGUAAUGUAUCG